UACAGAGGGGGCAAGCGUUGUUCGGAAUUACUGGGCGUAAAGGGCUCGUAGGCGGUUUGUCGCGUCGGGAGUGAAAACACCGGGCUUAACUCGGUGCUUGCUUUCGAUACGGGCAGACUGGAGGUAUGCAGGGGAGAACGGAAUUCCUGGUGUAGCGGUGAAAUGCGCAGAUAUCAGGAGGAACACCGGUGGCGAAGGCGGUUCUCUGGGCAUUACCUGACGCUGAGGAGCGAAAGUGUGGGGAGCGAACAGG
RNAcentral lists this ribosomal RNA (253 nucleotides) under uncultured bacterium. RNAcentral describes it as "partial 16S ribosomal RNA". It matches the Rfam family "Bacterial small subunit ribosomal RNA", at positions 524 to 776 of the family's 1533-position model. The record is from RNAcentral.